AGGGCACCACCAGGAGUGGAGCCUGCGGCUUAACUUGACUCAACACGGGAAAACUCACCCGGUCCGGACACCGUAAGGAUUGACAGAUUGAGAGCUCUUUCUUGAUUCGGUGGUUGGUGGUGCAUGGCCGUUCUUAGUUGGUGGAGCGAUUUGUCUGGUUUAUUCCGAUAACGAACGAGACUCUGGCCUACUAAAUAGUGACAGGAUUAUUACUGUCUUGGAUACUUCUUAGAGGGACAAGUGGUUUUCAGCCACACGAAAUUGAGCAAUAACAGGUCUGUGAUGCCCUUAGAUGUCCGGGGCUGCACGCGCGCUACACUGAAGGAAUCAGCGUGCUAAAACCAUUGUCGAAAGGCAUUGGUAAACCCAUUAAAAUCCUACGUGAUUGGGAUCGGGAAUUGCAAUUACUUCCCUUGAACGAGGAAUUCCCAGUAAGUGUGGGUCAUAAGCUCGCGUUGAUUACGUCCCUGCCCUUUGUACACACCGCCCGUCGCUGCCCGGGACUGAGCCGUUUCGAGA
Molecule: ribosomal RNA, 519 nt
Filed under: uncultured eukaryote
Lineage: Eukaryota
Description: SSU rRNA
Rfam family: Eukaryotic small subunit ribosomal RNA
Source: RNAcentral